RNAcentral lists this ribosomal RNA (228 nucleotides) under uncultured bacterium. RNAcentral's name for it is "partial 16S ribosomal RNA". It matches the Rfam family "Bacterial small subunit ribosomal RNA", at positions 103 to 334 of the family's 1533-position model. The record is from RNAcentral.
CGGGUGAGUAAUGUCUGGGAAACUGCCUGAUGGAGGGGGAUAACUACUGGAAACGGUAGCUAAUACCGCAUAACGUCGCAAGACCAAAGAGGGGGACCUUAGGGCCUCUUGCCAUCGGAUGUGCCCAGAUGGGAUUAGCUAGUAGGUGGGGUAACGGCUCACCUAGGCGACGAUCCCUAGCUGGUCUGAGAGGAUGAUCAGCCACACUGGGACUGAGACACGGCCCAG